This 440-nucleotide ribosomal RNA is filed under the name uncultured bacterium. Its description in RNAcentral is "partial 16S ribosomal RNA". It matches the Rfam family "Bacterial small subunit ribosomal RNA", at positions 338 to 795 of the family's 1533-position model. The record is from RNAcentral.
CCUACGGGUGGCUGCAGUAGGGAAUAUUGCUCAAUGGGGGAAACCCUGAAGCAGCAACGCCGCGUGGAGGAUGAAGGUUUUCGGAUUGUUAACUCCUUUUUUUAGAGAAGAUAAUGACGGUAUCUAACGAAUAAGCACCGGCUAACUCCGUGACCGCAGCCGCGGUAAUACGGAGGGUGCCAGCGUUACUCGGAAUCACUGGGCGUAAAGAGCGCGUAGGCGGGUUAGAAAGUCAGAUGUGAAAUCCUAUGGCUUAACCAUAGAACUGCAUUUGAAACUGGUAGUCUAGAGUAUGGGUGAGGUAGGUGGAAUUCGUGGUGUAGGGGUAAAAUCCGUAGAGAUCAAGAAGAAUUCUCAUUGCGAAGGCGACCUGCUAGAACAUAACUGACGCUGAUGCGCGAAAGCGUGGGGAGCAAACAGGAUUAGAUACCCCUGUAGUC